Molecule: ribosomal RNA, 247 nt
Filed under: uncultured bacterium
Lineage: Bacteria
Description: partial 16S ribosomal RNA
Rfam family: Bacterial small subunit ribosomal RNA
Source: RNAcentral
UACGGAGGGAGCUAGCGUUAUUCGGAAUUACUGGGCGUAAAGCGCACGUAGGCGGCUUUGUAAGUUAGAGGUGAAAGCCCAGGGCUUAACCCUGGAAUUGCCUUUAAGACUGCAUCGCUAGAAUUGUGGAGAGGUAAGUGGAAUUCCGAGUGUAGAGGUGAAAUUCGUAGAUAUUCGGAAGAACACCAGUGGCGAAGGCGACUUACUGGACACAUAUUGACGCUGAGGUGCGAAAGCGUGGAGGCAA